Molecule: RNA transcript, 1107 nt
Organism: Panicum virgatum (switchgrass)
Lineage: Eukaryota; Viridiplantae; Streptophyta; Magnoliopsida; Poales; Poaceae
Gene name: protein CURVATURE THYLAKOID 1B, chloroplastic-like
Exons: 6
Source: RefSeq, a predicted model, not a curated record
AAGAAACCCAACCCCACCUUAUCGUUCUCCCCGGGGAACAUGUGGCGCCCCUCCGGCGCCUGCCCCACUUUUUAUCCGCGCGCCCCAGCAGCCGCCGCCGCGCCCCCCGUGUUAUUAGCCUUCGCCGCCGACGUGCCCCGCGCCCACCGCAGCGCACCGCGACGACGUCGGGCCCCGACCCCGAGUGGCACCGGCCAGCCAGCUCGAGCACAGCUCUCGCCGCGCGACGACGCCAUGGCCCCGACCGCCCCAGCCGCCGCCACGGGCGCGGCGAGCCCCGCCGCGCCGGCCGUCGCCAGGAGCGAGGGCAGUGGCAAGGCCGCCGCGCGCUCCGUGGGGCUCGACCUGCCCGCGCUGCCGGGCCUCGGCCUCGGCCUCGCGGCGCAGGGACAGGCGACCCGCGCCGCGUCCUGCAAGCGGCCGGAGCGGAACGUGGUGGCCAUGGCUGCCGGGGCCGCGGGGGAGCCGGCGGCGGCGCCGGUGGUCGCCAACGAGGAGAUCACCGAGUUUGUCAACGCCUUGAAACAGGAGUGGGACGGGAUCGAGAACAAGUUCGCGGUGACCACGCUCGCCGUCACUGUCACGCUCGUCAUGUGGAGCGCUGGUGGAGUAGUAUCGGCGAUUGACAGGCUCCCCGUAGUUCCAGGCCUGAUGGAGGUUGUUGGAAUUGGAUACAGUGGGGUGAGGACCGCACGCAUCUGAGUGAAAACUUCAGAUGAUAUUUUGCAUUUGAGGCUAGAGUGUUCAAAAUUUCUCAUUUGCGUAGCUUUUCGUUACUGCUGUCGUUUAUCUGAUGAUUUUUUUUCACCUUUUUUGAACUGCCUUUUCUCAUGCAGUGGUUUGCGUACCGCUACCUGCUAUUCAAGCCUGACAGGGAUGCUUUCUUUGCAAAGGUCAGGGAGUUCUACGAGGAUAUAAUCAGCGGCUAACAGAAUAUGAUGCAAGCUCAUCCAAAUGAAGGAAGUUCAAUUUGAGAGGGGCAUGCUAGUCUGCUGCUGUUCAGUUCUUCUCUGUAAUAUAUUUCAGUAUAGCAUCUAAUUUGAUUCUCACUCAAUGUAUGGAUAAUUUGGAUGCUAAUCGUAAAUAACAUUUAAUCAUUUUAUAGCA